UGGGGCGUGGCCAAGUGGUAAGGCAACGGGUUUUGGUCCCGUUAUUCAGAGGUUCGAACCCUUCCGUCCGAG
Molecule: transfer RNA, 72 nt
Filed under: Medicago truncatula (barrel medic)
Lineage: Eukaryota; Viridiplantae; Streptophyta; Magnoliopsida; Fabales; Fabaceae
Rfam family: tRNA
About the family: Transfer RNA (tRNA) molecules are approximately 80 nucleotides in length. Their secondary structure includes four short double-helical elements and three loops (D, anti-codon, and T loops). Further hydrogen bonds mediate the characteristic L-shaped molecular structure. tRNAs have two regions of fundamental functional importance: the anti-codon, which is responsible for specific mRNA codon recognition, and the 3' end, to which the tRNAs corresponding amino acid is attached (by aminoacyl-tRNA synthetases). tRNAs cope with the degeneracy of the genetic code in two manners: having more than one tRNA (with a specific anti-codon) for a particular amino acid; and 'wobble' base-pairing, i.e. permitting non-standard base-pairing at the 3rd anti-codon position.
Source: Rfam by way of RNAcentral